This is a non-coding RNA of Pelobates cultripes (western spadefoot toad), 234 nucleotides long. Lineage: Eukaryota; Metazoa; Chordata; Amphibia; Anura; Pelobatidae. The record is from the annotation of a GenBank genome assembly.
UCCAGGUAGUAUAGCUCAGUAGAGCUAAAUUCAAGAGGCAGCAAUUGCCCAGAGCACCUGCGUUGACAAAGACUUCUCAUUGAGUUGUAUUGGGAAGUCUGUGAUUGGACAGCCACAGAAAGCCUGGGCAGGGUUAAAAUGGGAUGGCUUGCAAAGGAUUUAAAUAAGAUAUAGGUGUUUUUAGAUAAAGCCCAAUGAAAAAAAUGCACUGUUAAAUUUAAGAUUUUUUUAAAU